RNAcentral lists this ribosomal RNA (271 nucleotides) under Salmonella enterica. Its description in RNAcentral is "partial 16S ribosomal RNA". It matches the Rfam family "Bacterial small subunit ribosomal RNA", at positions 469 to 739 of the family's 1533-position model. The record is from RNAcentral. Lineage: Bacteria; Pseudomonadati; Pseudomonadota; Gammaproteobacteria; Enterobacterales; Enterobacteriaceae.
UUGACGUUACCCGCAGAAGAAGCACCGGCUAACUCCGUGCCAGCAGCCGCGGUAAUACGGAGGGUGCAAGCGUUAAUCGGAAUUACUGGGCGUAAAGCGCACGCAGGCGGUCUGUCAAGUCGGAUGUGAAAUCCCCGGGCUCAACCUGGGAACUGCAUUCGAAACUGGCAGGCUUGAGUCUUGUAGAGGGGGGUAGAAUUCCAGGUGUAGCGGUGAAAUGCGUAGAGAUCUGGAGGAAUACCGGUGGCGAAGGCGGCCCCCUGGACAAAGA